RNAcentral lists this ribosomal RNA (133 nucleotides) under uncultured bacterium. RNAcentral's name for it is "partial 16S ribosomal RNA". The record is from RNAcentral.
ACGGAGUUANCCGGGGCUUCUUCUCCGGCUACCGUCAUUAUCUUCACCGGUGAAAGAGUUUUACAACCCUAAGGCCUUCUUCACUCACGCGGCAUGGCUGGAUCAGGCUUGCGCCCAUUGUCCAAUAUUCCCC